Molecule: ribosomal RNA, 458 nt
Filed under: uncultured bacterium
Lineage: Bacteria
Description: partial 16S ribosomal RNA
Rfam family: Bacterial small subunit ribosomal RNA
Source: RNAcentral
CCUACGGGGGGCAGCAGUGAGGAAUAUUGGUCAAUGGGAGAGAGCCUGAACCAGCCAAGCCGCGUGAGGGAAGACGGCCCUAUGGGUUGUAAACCUCUUUUGUCGGAGAACAAACCCGGGACGAGUCCCGGACUGCGUGUAUCCGAAGAAAAAGCAUCGGCUAACUCCGUGCCAGCAGCCGCGGUAAUACGGAGGAUGCGAGCGUUAUCCGGAUUUAUUGGGUUUAAAGGGUGCGUAGGCGGAAUAUCAAGUCAGCGGUAAAAAUUCGGGGCUCAACCCCGUCGUGCCGUUGAAACUGAUGUUCUUGAGUGGGCGAGAAGUAUGCGGAAUGCGUGGUGUAGCGGUGAAAUGCAUAGAUAUCACGCAGAACUCCGAUUGCGAAGGCAGCAUACCGGCGCCCAACUGACGCUGAAGCACGAAAGCGUGGGUAUCGAACAGGAUUAGAUACCCGGGUAGUC